RNAcentral lists this ribosomal RNA (430 nucleotides) under uncultured Syntrophaceae bacterium. RNAcentral's name for it is "bacterial SSU rRNA". It matches the Rfam family "Bacterial small subunit ribosomal RNA", at positions 355 to 776 of the family's 1533-position model. The record is from RNAcentral. Lineage: Bacteria; Pseudomonadati; Thermodesulfobacteriota; Syntrophia; Syntrophales; Syntrophaceae.
UGAGGAAUCUUGCGCAAUGGGGGCAACCCUGACGCAGCAACGCCGCGUGAGUGAGGAAGGUCUUCGGAUCGUAAAGCUCUGUCGGAUGGAAAGAACCGCAUGGGGGUAAACAGCCCCUGUGUCUGACGGUACCAUCAAAGGAAGCACCGGCUAACUCCGUGCCAGCAGCCGCGGUAAUACGGGGGGUGCAAGCGUUGUUCGGAAUUAUUGGGCGUAAAGAGCGUGUAGGCGGCCGGAUGUGUCAGAUGUGAAAGCCCUGGGCUUAACCCAGGAAGUGCAUUUGAAACUGUUCGGCUUGAGUAGGGGAGAGGGAAGUGGAAUUCCUGGUGUAGAGGUGAAAUUCGUAGAUAUCAGGAGGAACACCGGUGGCGAAGGCGACUUCCUGGCCCUAUACUGACGCUGAGACGCGAGAGCGUGGGUAGCAAACAGG